AUGACAGAUGAGCAGAGAUAUGCUGGCUACAUGGCACUACAUACCUUGCAUCUGGCUAGGGGUGGCAAGUUCAAAAGAAAUGACAGGAAGGAUGUUUCUCAAAAUUUUCAAGUUGGUGUUCAACAUAUUCGAAAAAUCUGGACGAUAGCAGAGCGACAAAAAGCGCUUGGUCAAGAGGUGGAUGUAUCUAGCGGAAGGAAACGAAGAUGCGGGAGGAAAGGAAAGGAUGAUACUCUAUCCCAAAUCCCCACAGUUCCUUUGAAUAGAAGGUCGACUCUCAGGUCACUUGCUCGCCAAUUGGGUGUCAGUCAUAUUACACUCUACAAGAAACUCAAGCUUCGCAAGAUUAGAAGGCACUCCAAUCGUUUGUAUGAUUACAUUUUCUGA
RNAcentral lists this ribosomal RNA (387 nucleotides) under Triticum aestivum (bread wheat). RNAcentral's name for it is "partial small subunit ribosomal RNA". Lineage: Eukaryota; Viridiplantae; Streptophyta; Magnoliopsida; Poales; Poaceae. The record is from RNAcentral.